GUGCCGUGAGGUGUCGGCUUAAGUGCCAUAACGAGCGCAACCCUCAUCAUUAGUUACCAUCAGGUGAAGCUGGGGACUCUAAUGAGACUGCCAUCGUAAGAUGCGAGGAAGGUGGGGAUGACGUCAAAUCAGCACGGCCCUUACGUCCGGGGCGACACACGUGUUACAAUGGGUGGUACAAAGGGCAGCUACAUGGCGACAUGAUGCUAAUCUCCAAAACCACUCUCAGUUCGGAUCGGAGUCUGCAACUCGACUCCGUGAAGCUGGAUUCGCUAGUAAUCGCGCAUCAGCCACGGCGCGGUGAAUACGUUCCCGGGCCUU
This 321-nucleotide ribosomal RNA is filed under the name uncultured Proteiniphilum sp. RNAcentral describes it as "bacterial SSU rRNA". It matches the Rfam family "Bacterial small subunit ribosomal RNA", at positions 1062 to 1382 of the family's 1533-position model. Lineage: Bacteria; Pseudomonadati; Bacteroidota; Bacteroidia; Bacteroidales; Dysgonomonadaceae. The record is from RNAcentral.